This 393-nucleotide unclassified non-coding RNA is filed under the name Hevea brasiliensis (rubber tree). The record is from RNAcentral. Lineage: Eukaryota; Viridiplantae; Streptophyta; Magnoliopsida; Malpighiales; Euphorbiaceae.
AGAGUUUCCUUUAGUCUGAUGGUUAUGUUGCUCAUGUUCUUCACUGCUGAUAUUUGUUCAAGUUUUAGGUUGUUGUUAAUUUGUUUUGGUAUAGUUUCGAAUUCCUUUUGUAAUUGUUCCCUCAAACUAGAUUUCUCCAAAUCUGUGAGUCUCUCGUACGAUAUGGUUUGGAAACCAUAUUUUGCAUUUUUCUUAUGUCUGGCAAAAGUUUUCAAAUUACUGCUUCAUGAGAUUUAAUUUUCUAGAAUCCUAAACAACCAUAUGGGAAAUUGUUCGCUUUCUCUUGUGUUCCCGAUUAAAUUUUUCGUUGUUAUCCCUAGUUCUCACAUCAUGUUCAUGAUUUCCUCUCGCAACUGUUUCACAAAAUAUCGUGUCUAUUUGAUCUGCUUCUUA